The sequence is a ribosomal RNA, 1058 nucleotides long. It matches the Rfam family "Bacterial small subunit ribosomal RNA", at positions 56 to 1127 of the family's 1533-position model.
UGCAGUCGAACGAUGAAGCCCAGCUUGCUGGGUGGAUUAGUGGCGAACGGGUGAGUAACACGUGAGUAACCUGCCCUUAACUCUGGGAUAAGCCUGGGAAACUGGGUCUAAUACCGGAUAGGAGCGUCCACCGCAUGGUGGGUGUUGGAAAGAUUUAUCGGUUUUGGAUGGACUCGCGGCCUAUCAGCUUGUUGGUGAGGUAAUGGCUCACCAAGGCGACGACGGGUAGCCGGCCUGAGAGGGUGACCGGCCACACUGGGACUGAGACACGGCCCAGACUCCUACGGGAGGCAGCAGUGGGGAAUAUUGCACAAUGGGCGCAAGCCUGAUGCAGCGACGCCGCGUGAGGGAUGACGGCCUUCGGGUUGUAAACCUCUUUCAGUAGGGAAGAAGCGAAAGUGACGGUACCUGCAGAAGAAGCACCGGCUAACUACGUGCCAGCAGCCGCGGUAAUACGUAGGGUGCGAGCGUUAUCCGGAAUUAUUGGGCGUAAAGAGCUCGUAGGCGGUUUGUCGCGUCUGUCGUGAAAGUCCGGGGCUUAACCCCGGAUCUGCGGUGGGUACGGGCAGACUAGAGUGCAGUAGGGGAGACUGGAAUUCCUGGUGUAGCGGUGGAAUGCGCAGAUAUCAGGAGGAACACCGAUGGCGAAGGCAGGUCUCUGGGCUGUAACUGACGCUGAGGAGCGAAAGCAUGGGGAGCGAACAGGAUUAGAUACCCUGGUAGUCCAUGCCGUAAACGUUGGGCACUAGGUGUGGGGACCAUUCCACGGUUUCCGCGCCGCAGCUAACGCAUUAAGUGCCCCGCCUGGGGAGUACGGCCGCAAGGCUAAAACUCAAAGGAAUUGACGGGGGCCCGCACAAGCGGCGGAGCAUGCGGAUUAAUUCGAUGCAACGCGAAGAACCUUACCAAGGCUUGACAUGUUCUCGAUCGCCGUAGAGAUACGGUUUCCCCUUUGGGGCGGGUUCACAGGUGGUGCAUGGUUGUCGUCAGCUCGUGUCGUGAGAUGUUGGGUUAAGUCCCGCAACGAGCGCAACCCUCGUUCAUGUUGCCAGCACGUA